RNAcentral lists this ribosomal RNA (1683 nucleotides) under Coelonotus leiaspis. Its description in RNAcentral is "partial large subunit ribosomal RNA". The stretch from base 97 to 1567 matches the Rfam family "Bacterial large subunit ribosomal RNA". Lineage: Eukaryota; Metazoa; Chordata; Actinopteri; Syngnathiformes; Syngnathidae. The record is from RNAcentral.
CACCUUAAAGCUAGUCCACUCAACAAAAAACAAAGAAUAACAGAAAUAACCCCUAACAUAACAACCAAACCAAGCAAAACAUUUUUCCCCCUUAGUACGGGAGACAAAAAAGGAGAAAGGAACCAUAGAAAAAGUACCGCAAGGGAAUGCUGAAAGAGAAAUGAAAAAACUCAACCAAGUAUAAUAAAGCAGAGCUCAAACCUCGUACCUUUUGCAUCAUGAUUUAGCUAGUAAUAUUUAAGCAAAGAGAACUUAAGUUUAAAACCCCGAAACCAGGUGAGCUACUCCAAGACAGCCUAUAUAUACAGGGCUAACCCGUAUCUGUGGCAAUAGAGUGGGAAGAGCUUCGAGUAGAAGUGAUAGACCAACCGAACCUGGUUAUAGCUGGUUGUCAGAAAAAUGAAUAGAAGUUCAGCCUAAUUUAUUAUCACACCAGACGUGUAUGUACACACAAAGCCAAAGAUUAAGAAAUUAGAGUUAGUCAGAAGGGGUACAGCUCUUCUGAUUUAAGAAACAACUUUAUAAGGAGGUUAAAAAUCACUCUAUAAAGGCAUACACCCUGGUGGGCUUAAUAGCAGCCAUCCGAAAAGAAAGCGUUAAAGCUCAAGCAACAGCUAGCCUUACAUCCCUAUAACCCUUAUUUAAACCCCUAUAAUUAUCUGACCUUCCCAUAUAGCUAUGGAACAGAUUAUGCUAAUAUGAGUAAUAAGAGAGCCAGCCUCUCUCUUGACACAUGUGUAAAUCGGAACGAACACACGCCGAAAUUUAACGCCCCCAAACCCAAGAGGGUAAUGUAAAACAAGUAAACCACAAGAAAACCCAUCAAAAUAAAGCGUUAACCCUACACUGGUGUGUCACCCAAGAAAGACUAAAAAAAGAAGAAGGAACUCGGCAAAUAAAUUACGCCUCGCCUGUUUACCAAAAACAUCGCCUCUUGCACAUCCGAGUAUAAGAGGUCACGCCUGCCCUGUGACUAUAAGUUUAACGGCCGCGGUAUUUUGACCGUGCGAAGGUAGCGCAAUCACUUGCCUUUUAAAUGAAGACCAGUAUGAAUGGCACGACGAGGGCUUAACUGUCUCCUUCUUUCAGUCAAUGAAAUUGAUCUGCCCGUGCAGAAGCGGACAUAUAAACAUAAGACGAGAAGACCCUAUGGAGCUUUCAGACGCACAGAAGGCCUACGUUAAUUAACCCAAUCAACAGACCAAACCGAGUAGCACCCUUCUGAAUAUCUUUGGUUGGGGCGACUACGGGGAAACAAACAACCCCCAAGAGGAAUGAAAGUAAACUUUUAUAUUUAAGAACCACUAUUCUAAAAAUCAGAACAUCUGACCAUAUGAUCCGGUAAGACCGAUCAACGAACCAAGUUACCCUAGGGAUAACAGCGCAAUCCCCUUUUAGAGUCCCUAUCAACAAGGGGGUUUACGACCUCGAUGUUGGAUCAGGACAUCCUAAUGGUGCAACCGCUAUUAAGGGUUCGUUUGUUCAACGAUUAAAGUCCUACGUGAUCUGAGUUCAGACCGGAGCAAUCCAGGUCAGUUUCUAUCUAUGAAGUGACCUUCUUUAGUACGAAAGGACCGAGAAGGAAAGGCCCAGUUUAACUAAAAGCCUUCCCCUUACCUAUUGAAGUUAUCUCAAAUAGACAAAAGGGUACCAACCACACACACACCUAAGAUAAAGGUAUAU